GUAGGGUUUAAGACUUCGCGCGCUGGAGCGACGCCUGGGCUCCUGGCUCCGCCUCCUGACCCCUGACCUGUCGAGCGGGUUGCCUGAGCCCCCUGAGCUUGGUUCUGCGGCGGUGCGACGGGGACCAUCGCAGCGUACGGUCCUCGGAGGUGGUGGGGCAUUAAACGCCGCCGCCUCAGCGGGAAGCCAGCCGGGUGCCAGCCGCGGGCCGGAACCAGCCAGUUGUCCGUGUGGUGGUUGGGAGGGCGCGUCUCGGCAGCCCUCGCGGCCUCCCUCGGGGGGUUUCGGGGUCAGAGGACCACAGUCACAGUGCAGGGGGAGAGCGAUCGGCCUUGGGAAGAGAAGCGGGCUGCAUAACCGAGUUCGGGAGGGUCGUUUCCCUGGCGUCCGUGCUCAGGCGAGCGACGGCCCUUGGGUUCGUCUCCGCUGACAUCGCCCGUCACGGGGGGUACUGAAAAGACCGAGACCCCCUGCUUGUGCAGGCGCCCAUAGUGUGCCAGUGGCGCCGGGGGUGGCAGGUAACGAGGCCAGUGUGAAGGGGAGAUGGAGAACCUGCCCCAGAAACCCGGUCAAGGUAACAGUUCUGGGUGGGUGGAUCAGGGAAGGCCUCGCAGAUUGAAAUUUCCUAUCCCGUUGGAAGGAAAUAGAUUUUUCCCUGCGAACAGGGCAGGGAAGGGAUCUUCCAUGACACGAUACUCAGAUUAAAUACUACGUGAAACGUUUCCAAACACCUUUGUAAUUCUACAUGUGCUUUUAUAAACGUUCGGCGUGGACAUCCAUAGCAAAAGUUCACCUCUUUGGAAGGACUCUUUAAGGCCCAGGUUUUAUCUGCCCAGAGUCACCCAGCUGCUGAGUUCCAGACCCAACUGGUACCGCUUAGCAGGUGGUUUCCACCGCGGCUUAAGGCUUUAUUCGCCUUGAACGUCUUGAACAUCGCAGCCUCUGUGAUUUAUAAAGCACUGUACUUCAACCUUGGCCACCAGUCAGUCACCCUGGGGCUUUGAAAAUGAUGGAUGCCUGAGCCACCUCCAGACCUAUUAAGUCGGAGGGGUGUGCAGUGCAUGGAAGGCACCUAUAAUUUUCUUUUUACAGCAUCACAGGUGAUUUUGGUACACAGAACUGAGAGUCACUAGAUUCCAGGCUUUUUUUUUUUUUUUUUUUGGACAGGACAGCUACGUCUAAAAGGUUGAUUCACAUGCGUGUUAUGUUUUGUGUACUCAGAAAAUACGAAUUCCUGAGUUCUGUAGCCUUGUGCUAGACAAGAAACUUAGUAGACGUGUUCCUCCUUAGCCAACAGAUUUUUUUCCCCUUCAUUUUCAAUCCUUUCCAAAAAUGGGGCCAAGGUAAGUUCCAGUAUGUGAAUGAAUUACAGAUUUUUAUUUAUUGAGAGAAACUGGAAUAAAUGUUAUAUGGGAGAAACGCCUAAAAGAUGAGUAACAUUCUGGCAGGAUUGGCCAGGGAGUAUAUUCUUCUGUCCACUAUGUAAUUAAGUUAGUCUGUGUCAAUAAUCCCAAAACAUAGGCCCCGGAAAAGUAAUCCCUGGAGGUACUUCUGGAAGAAGAGACUUCCAUGGCCAUAAAGCGAUUUGGCCCCUGCCACCCGUAGCUGCAGGGAGGCUGAGGGAGCAGAGAGCAGGACUACAAUGAUAAACCUAGGCUGGUCACAGUCCACAGUCCAGACAUCCUGCCGCCUCAAAUCAAACUAAAAUGAUGUUAAAUGGAGAAAAAAGUAGAGAGAAUGGGUUUUGGUUAAGCAGCUAAAAGGGUCUGCCACAACUUUGCUGAACCUGUUGUUUUCCAAGUAUUUGGGACAACCGUUUUGUGAAAUAGCAUCAAAACUUGGAAAGUGCUAGCUUUGUGUGUGUGCAUGUGCGUGUGCACGUGUGUGCAUGCACACACACACACACACACACACACACACAGCCGGACAAUUGAGCAAACCAUUAGGGGAUUAGACUGUUUGUAUGGACAGUUUUUCUUAUUCUAAAGUGGAUCUGACUCCCCGAUUUGGAACGAUCUUGCCUCAUUGGACUUACUUUUCCUUAGAAAAUGCCAUCCAAUCCACCAGCCAUGCCCUUUGGUCACUGUAGAUUAAUAGGACGUGUAGAGAUGGGCCUCAGAUGUCCAUCCAGCUACAUCUUUUCAUUUUAUGGAUUUGGAAACUGAGGUCCGAAAAGGUGAAGUAAUUGACUCUCUGUGAUAGACCUUUGUCUGCAGACAUCCAGGCCAGCAUCUUUCCAUGUCGUCAUCUUCUUUCCUGGCCCUACCCUGCCUGAGGAUCUUCACUAAUGAAAUGUUGUAGAGCCCCACAGUUCUGCGUAUUUAUUUCACUGUGGAUUUGGGGGUUUUCACAUUUCAUGUAAAAUAAGGAUGUUUUGUAGGUUAUGCUUUUAACCUGCUUGUUUUGUUCAAUAUUGCUUAUGGAAAGAGCUAUGAAGAAUUAAAAGCAUUAUUUUUAGCUAAAAGUAUAAUUUUAAUUAUCCCAUCAUUACUGAAAGUUGAAUCAUAUUCAAUUUUAUGUUAAUGUCAUUAACUACAGCGAUCACUUGCUUAUGUAUUUUUAAACAUGAGUCUAAAUAAUCAAUGUAAAACUUUGUACUUUGUCGCUUACAAUUAAUGUUAUCGCACUUCACCUAGGUAAUGCCUUAGCACUCAGCUAAAAACUAAGCUACUUUCAAGUCCCAUGUUGUCCCAUUGUGGAUUUGCUUCAAAAUUUGAAAGCAAAAUUUCAAUAAAAUUUCUUCUUAGGGAGUCUGUGCUGAAUCAAAUCUGCAUUUAUACCAUAUGACGUGACUUCUGAGUAGAUGCUAACUCUUUGAAAGCCUUGAUGAAUUCCCUAUGAUAAAGACUAGUGUUCUGUAGGAAAAAUCCCAGCUUAGAUGCACAGCUUAAUCUGUUGGCACAGAACUAUCGAAAAGCAAAAUAAAUUUCACAACCUAAGGGAUAGGCAAAGGAAGGAUCUGAAUAGAGUUUUUUCAAAGAAGCUCCCCGAGUGGCCAAUGAGUACCUAAAAGAUGGUCAGCAUCGUUAGCAGUCAGAGACAUACAGCUUAGAUCCUCAUUGAGAUACAACUGCAUCCUCCUGAAGGGGCUACAAGCAAGAGGACAGAUAAGAGAUAACACAGAGUGAGAGUGUGGGGAAACUGGAACCAGAUACGCUGCAGGGGGGGAAUGUAAAAUGGUGCAGCUGCCUUUGAAAACAGUCUGGCAGCUUUUCAAAGAAUUAAAGCAUAAAGGGCUUUCAUGUGAUCCAGCAGUUCCACUCCUGGAUGGAGAAAUGAAGAUACACUUACUCAACAAGAAAAAGACAACCAAUUUAAAAGUGGGCAAAAAAUUUGAAUAGACUUCUUUUUCCAAAGAAGGUAUGCAGAUGGCUAUAAACACAGGAAAAGAUGCUCGACAUCCUGGAGUUCUGACUAGGAACCAUGAACUUGCAGGUUCAACCUUUGGCCUCGCUCAGUGGGUUAAGGAUCCGGCAUUGAUGUGAGCUGUGGUGUAGGUCUCAGAUGUGGCUCGGAUCCUGCGUUGCUGUGGCUCUGGCAUAGGCCGGCGGCUGCAGCCCCAAUUAGACCCCAGCCUGGGAUCCUCCAUAUGCCACGGGUGCAACCCUAAAAAGCAAAAAAAAAAAAAAAGAUGCUCAACCUCAUUGGUCAUUAGGGAAGUGCAAGUCGAAACCUCAGUGAGAUACCACUUCACACCCAUGAGGAAGGCUGUCAUCUAAGUCACAUGGUAGCAAGUGUUGAGGACGUGGAGAAAUCAGAAUCUGUGUACAUUGUUGCUGGGAAAACAAACGGCAUAGCCACUUGGGAUAAUACAGCUUGACAGUUCCUCAGUAGGUUCUCCGUAGAGUUACCAUGUGAUCCAGCAGUUCCAUUCCUAGGGCUGUACCCGAGAGAAACGAGAGUGUCCACAGAGAAGCUUGUCCAUGAACAUUCAUAGCUGCAUUAUUCACAGUAGCCAGAAAGCAGAAACAGUUCAGGUGUCAAUUAACUGAUUAAUGGAUAAAUAAAAUGUAUAUCCAUUCAGGGGAAUAUUGGCCAUAAAAAGGAAUUGAUCCAUACUACAAUGUGGAUGAACCCUGAAAACAUGCUAAGUGAAAGAAGCCAGUCACAGAAGAUGACACAUUUUCUGGUUUCAUUUGCAUGAAACAUCCAGAAUAGAUAGAUCCACAGAAACAGAAAGUGCAUCUGUGGCUGCCUAGGGCUGGUGCAGGAAGAAGAGAAAUGACAGGUGACUGCUGAUCGGUACAGAGUUUACUUCUGGGGGGCAGAAUGAAAAUGACCCAAAAUUUGUACAACUCAAUAUACUAAAAAACAUUGAACUGUACAUGUUAAGCAGAUGAAUUAGAUGGUAUGUGAAUUGUAUCUCAGUAAGCCUGUUAAUGCGGGUAAAGUUAGGAAGGGCACCUCUCCGAGACCAGAGGUGACAGGUCACAGUGUGGCACAGAGACUGCUCAUCACCUCCCAGUAGCUGCUCUUCCCGUGCGUAGAUUGGAGGACACGGCUACCGGAACAAAGGCUGCAUUGUCCAACCCCCCAUGCAGCUUGGUGUGACUUUGUGACUGAUUCCGGGCAAUGGGAUGUCAGUGGAAGCAAUGCGUCUAACUUCUCAGUGGCCUUACCAGUCAUGGGCAAGCCCUUCCCUGCGUGCUGGAAUGCAGAUGAGAUGGCUGGAAUUUGAACAACAUCUUGGGUCGUGAGGUACAAGCCACAUGUCGAAGCCAGCCGAGCAACAAACCAGGUGGAGUCCCAUGUCCCUACUGGAUGUGGAGCUGCCAUCCUAGCCCUGGAUUCACUCUGUGACGGGGAAACAAACUUCUACCUUGUGUAACACAGUGUGUGACUUCGGAGUUUCUGUCACGUGCCUUCCUACGGAAUUCAAACCAACAGGCAUUAAUGUGAAUAUAGAUUAGUUAAGUUAAGGGAACUAGUGUGCCUGGCUUGUUCGUAGCUCAGAAAAUGAUAGAUAGCUCUUCCUACUCACUGAUUCCUCUUGUGCUUCAAAAAAAGCAGCCAAAGUAAAGUGUUACUAGUUCAAAAAAUAUAUUUAUAGAAGGGAAAUUUGGGGUUAUAACAUUUCAAAAGUGUACUGUAAUAAAGUAGCUUGAAGUUUAUGGAACUCAGAAUCUGGAAAAAGCAAGUUUUUUUAAGAACAAAAGGAAUUGUGUGCUCUCCCUGUGCUUUUUAGGAACCACAUUGGAUAUUCCUGGGCUUGCUGCCAAGUCAGGUUUUGGAGAGACGGUCAAAAGGAGUGACAUUCUGCUCUCAACUUCACGUGUUCUCUUUGGAUUGAGGCUCUUGAGGUUUUGGAAAUUUUCCUUGGGAUUUUCCUCUAACAGAAUAGACUCUCCGCCCCCACCGUCACCCUUGAGUGCUCUUCCCCUGGUCCCACGAUGUUGGGAGGAGGUGUGACGAGCCCUCCUGCUUUGAAAGGGGCCCCAGGCAAGGCUGGGUGCCCACCGGCUCCAGUGCUGCUCACCAGUGUCAGCUCCCCCGAGUGUGUGUGGCCAGAGCUCAGUGUGAUGGUAGACAGUGGCUUUUAUCUGCCCUCAUCCUGGAGGCGCAGGAGAAGCAGCGCUGCUACAAUAGUCCCCUCAGGAGUGGGGAAGCGUGGGGGGUGGCAGGACCCUCCCCGCCUUGGGCUGUGUCUUCCCAGUGACGCCACCAAGUCAGGUGGGGUCAGGAGCCGGAAAUCUUAGUACAGAUUUGACCAGAGAAUUUAACCCAGAGAUGAGCAGGUGCAGAGCUAUCAACUAGGUAAUAGGGUAGAAAAGGACUCUAAGGUGUCACAGAGGUGACCACUUCAGGAAGCAGCUGCCACCUCUGCUGGGGAGGAGGAGAUGGGAAAGGUCCGAUUAUGAUGCCGCAGAAGCUGAGAGGAGUGGGCUCUGCUCUACGGAUGCUCUGCUCGCUGGAGGGACUCUGGUUCUUCAAGUGCCAGAGACGCUGCCCGCGGCCUCAGCUGCUUGGGUAAUGGAGCCCUGGAUCAGGGCACCAGGAGCCGAAGGUGGAGGAGGGAGCCCUUCCAGCCCCAUCCUGCAGCGUCGCCAGCCCUUCUGGGCAGAGCCCCACCCGGAGCCAACCUGCAGGGUUGCUCCGCAGAUUCCCGCUCAGCACCAGCAGGCACAGCAUUCAGCUGAGGUUUGGAGCCAGAGCAGAUAACAGCUGUGCCUUCUUAGGUGGGGAGAUGUCCCCCUGUAAGUGGGCAGGUCAGCAGCUGCCUACAAGCUUGAAUAACCCAGUCAGUUCCUCGGAUCUCAUAAUAGUACCUCCAGGCUGACAGAGAAGGAUCCUCGUCCAAAGUCACCCCAGCCAGAUGUUACACCUCAGUUGUAACCUCUCCCAGCUCUACCCCCAGGGCUGAUUCCAUCCGGGAGUUUGGGGGGGUAUCAAAAGUGGAGAGGAGUUCCCUGGUAGUCAGGUGGUUAAGGAUCCAGCAUUGUCCCUGCCGGGGCUUGGAUUUGAUCCAGGGCCUGAGAACUUAGGCGUGUUGUGGGCAUAGCCAAAAGAAUUAAAAAAACAAAUAAAAAUCAAAACAGAUUUUAAAAAAUAAAAGUGGAAAGAGAAGUUGAGGAAUGAAGAAAAAUGAAACAGCAGCGGGGAACAUGCUAGAGCAACUUCUCUUCACUGCCAGGGCCUCCCUCCUUCAGCAGACAGGUGCUGAUUGUGAGGGAAGCAAGAGCAGCCCAGGACGGCAGUCGCGCUUGCCUCCAGUCCCAGUGAUCUCAUCCACACCUCCCCAGAGUUCCUGACAGCCCGGGAGGCCACAGGACCCAGUUCUGGCCAAAAAGAAGAACCCCCACCAGCAAGGUUGAGGGGAAAAUUUCUUGGACGGCCAGAGCCGUGCAGAGGGCGGUGCCCUGGGCCUUCCCUGCCUUUCAUUCUCGGGAAGCUAAGCUGAGAAUGGAAUUCCUGGCCCUGAGGCAGCCACCUCGCCAUUGUCAGGUGCUGAGGACACCGUCCCCGGGGGGCAGAGUGGGCAGAGAGCCCAGGUUCUGGAUCCCUGUGGGCUGCUGCUCCAAGCCUGGAAGGGCUGUCUCUGCUCCCCUGUUGCUCUCAGCAGUGUUCUGCUUCUGCUCCUUUGGGGGUUUCCUGUUCAUUGCACCCCUGAUACAUUCCAGAGUGGGGCGGGGAGCCCAGCAAGCUGCCGCAGAGCUUCCUGAGGGAGGCGAUGGGGAGGAACCACUGGAAUGGUGUCAGACAGCUGCCGAGCAGGUCGUGUCGAACAGAAAUACCGCAAACAACGCAGUGGCUCCAGGAGGAUGCAAGUGCACAAGGGUUUAAGUGACGCCCAGAUAAAAAGUGCCGUUUUGUGCCAAUGAGCUCCUCUCUUUGCCGUUUACUGUAGGCCCAGCUCCCCUGCUGCUGUCAGAGUGUCCUGCUUCCCCCCCUCAGGAAAGCACACCUUUCCUGGUCUCCUCCUCCCUGGAAUCUUGAACUCUGGUGAAGAACAUGGUGAAAUGUUCCAAGUGUAGCAGGGGCGUUACUGAAAGGGAAAAUCGUAACCGGUAAGGAGCACAUCCUUAGACACACCUUUUCCUAUCAGCUACCAGGACUCCUGAAAACAGUGCCCCUGUACUCCGGUGAACGUGACCUAGAGACGUCCUAGGAACGAGGAGAUUUGCUAGAGGCAGAUGAGUAAGGAGAGUCCCAGAACGGUUCGUCUCAGAACAACAAUAAUGAGCAAGCCGCCAGGAAGCAGAAAGAUCACAUCUUUUGUAAAAUUAGCCCUAGUUCUCCUCUGUGGCUCUUCUGGCUCCCUUUUUCUGCUCCCUUUUCUUGCACUUUUCAGACAAUCAGGAGCAGGAAACGAGGAUGUUGAUUUUCUCUUGGGAAAAGUACCAGUGCAUGUUUGCAAACGAUGCCAUUUCUUUACCGCUUUCUCAUGACAUCUGCUUUCCUUUUCCCAAGAACCCUGAGGGCUGUCAUUCCCAUCUUCAGAUGAAGAGCUCGAGACCCUAAAAGAUAGCAAAAGCUUAAAUACUUUUUUCCUGGUUCACAUAGCCAGAAAGCAAGAACCACGGCUAGAAUUGAAACCCGCCGGAUUCCAAGACAUGUGUUCCUAAUCCUGAUACUGGGCCGCCUCCCGUAUUUGAUGUAUUAGGAGUCCUCAUUAUCUGGCUCUUUUUCAUACUAGUCUAGAGUUUCACAUUUCAUCGAAGUGGUGAAAUUCUUGAAGUCCAGCCUCAACAAAUUACUUGAUUUUGCGUUUUCUGACUCAGGUUCAAAUUCCUUUGACCUCAUUUUCUAUAUUUAUAGACCAGGAAAUACUAAUACCAGGUCCACUACUUUAAUUACAUUGUACUUUCAAUACUUAGUGAGAGUUCACGUCUGGACACCUUCGAAUAGUACUCAUUCCCGAGGCCUACUCAAGACCUUCGAAUCAGAAAUCCUUAGGGCUGGGCUGGGAAUCCACAGUGAAGCAAAAUGACUGUUCUUUUUAAAAAGUCACACAAGCUUUGUAUAAAACUGUCAAGAGCGCAGAAGAAGAAAGCAAGCAUCCCCAGGAGCAAGCCCCCCCCCACCCCCGGAGGAGGGUGAUGGUGACAGUGGCAGCGGUGAUGAUCACAGCACAGACAAGCCAGUCCUCCUGUGUCCAGAUCUCACACAUCUUGUCUCAUCUGCUUACCUCUCCCUUCCCAGCAGUCUUCGAGCUGACACACUGUUACCCACAUGUACAGAUAAAGUGAUGGCGGCUCACGGUCUUUGAGCAUCUGUCUCUACUAGUUUCCUCAGACUGAGAUAACAAAGUACCACAGGGAGUUCCCAUCGUGGCUCCGCAGUAAUGAACCUGACUAGUAUCCAUAAGGAUGAGGGUUCGAUCCCUGGCCUCACUGUGGGUUAAGGAUACGGUGUUGCUGUGAGCUCUGUUGCAGGUCACAUGUGGCUCAGAUCUGGUAUUCCUGUGGCUGUGGCGUAGGCUGGCAACUGCAGCUCCAAUUCAACCCCUAGCCUGGGAACAUCCAUAUGCUGUGGGUACGGCCCUAAAAGUAAAAAAAAAAAAAAAAGUACCACAAGCUGGGUGGCUUAGAACAGCAGAUGAACCCAGCCAGUCGUGAGGCUGGAAGUGGGGCAUCUCGGUGUCAGCAGGGCCGUGCUCCCGUUGAAGCCUCCCUGAGGCUCCUUCCUUCCUCUUCCAGCUGCCGAUAGCCUGGGGCAGUCCAUGCCUGGGCUAGUCGGUGCCUGGGCUUUUGUGUGCCAUCUCUGCCUCUCUCUUCACCUGACAGUCUCACUUCUGUGUGUGUCUGUGCCCAAAUUUCCCUCUUUUAAGGACAGGAGUCUUCUUGGAUGAGGGCCCACCCCUGGCAAGUCAUCAUAAGUGAUUCCAUCUGCCAAGACCCAAUUUCCAAAUAAGGUGACAUGCUGAGGUCCUGGGGCCCAGGACUUCAACUUACCUUUUUAGAAGACACAGUUCGACCCAGACGCUAUCCAAGGAUACAAUGGCUAGUAGAGUGUGAGACUGGAUUUAAACUUGGGUGAUGUUAGAACCUGGCCCCAUGGCUGUGAGCCACCACCUAUUCUAUCUUGGCGAUGCCCUCGGGGCCUUGUGCUGUGGUGCCUUCAGCAGGGGAAGGAGUAAUAAACGCAGAAAACAUCUUGCAACUCUUGAGAAAAAAUUUGUUUAUGAGAACACAAACCCUGGGGCUAGUCUCAGACAUUUGCUCUACAACAGUUAGCUACAAACAACUCCACAGCAUUUUGAGGUGGGGGGUGAGUUACGAUGGAAGAACUUUACACCCAGCAAUUUGUCUUUCAGUGGCACAGGCGGGCAUUCUCAGAAAUGCAAGGGCUCCGAAAAUAUUCCACAUGUUGAAAAACUAUUUGAACAUACAUUCCAGUGGUUCAUAGGGUUUGGGAUUAUGUAGACCAGAAAAAAAUCUCAAAAAUAAUUUGGAAACCAACGGACGGAUUGCCAACUUUUAACUUUGUAAAGGCAUUUAAAGCCAAUCAAACUGCCAUCGAGUGCACACAUAUAAUGGCUUCAUAAAAGAUAGAUCGUCUUAACGCCAAAAAUAUGAAAAGGCUGUAACCUGGUAGCUAUUUCAAGGGGGAAGUUUAACUUUAUGAAAAAAUAUUUGUAUUUAAUACAUCUUACCCCAGAGCGGUGAAGAACUUUCUCUGUAGAUAAGAUCUCAACCCUGAAGGGGUUUUUGAAAACCAGGAACUCCCAGGGACCCAACGAAGGAUAAGCGAAAAUGGGGCCUGGCCAGAAGUCGGGAUUUAUGCCACUGAGGGAAAAAUGCGAUUUGAAACUGACCAUAAUCAUUUCCAUUUUCUAAGGAGCGUUUCAGGGGGCAAAUAAAUCUUUGCAGUGCUACCCCUGCCACCGAGAGAGGGUGGUGGAGGCAGAGAGGAAAAGAGAGAACUUGUUCCCUCUGCUGACAUCUGGGCUUCCACUUAGUUUUUUCCGAGUUCUCACGAAAAGACCUAUGCAAGGACCCCUGGUUUGAAAUGAUGCUUUGCAUUCGCACAUUUAAUUAACACUCCCUCCCUGAGCCUCUGUAAAAAGAGCGUGCCUGCAUGCAAACUGAGGGUACGGUACUGCCCGCUUGGCUGUAAUUGCUAAAAACUUCUGCACGCUCAAGUACAGGUGAGGCCAGCCUGGGAAAAGAGCCCAUCAAUCAGCGGUUCAUGACAUAUAAAGGGUGAGACUCGAGACUGGAGGAAGAGGAGGGGACCAGGACCUCCCUCCCAAACGUACAGGACGAGGGGCCGGGAGCCAGGACAAACAGAGUCUGUAGGCCAGCAUACCGGGGACAGACACGGAGGCUGCUCGAAGCGUUCAAUCGCAUUUAUUUUUGGAAUGAGUUCCUGGACUAAGUAAAGAGGGGCAGCAGUGGAGCCAGCUUAAAGCUGAGGAAGUGGGUUUGAGUCGGGAAAUUCUGCCCUGGAGCGUUGCCCUAGAGCCCAAGCUAAGUGUGAAGUAGAACCACAAUCAGGAAUGGCAGCUCUGAGGGACCGCGGUGAUGUCCCUUCCCCACAUCAGUUCCGUCCUCACCUGCGAGGCAGAUGGACCUCCUGUCUGGCAUAAAGUAACACUGCGGUACAUCAGAACCCGACUUCCUUAUCGCCAUAGCAACAGAGAUGUCGCUCUGAAAGACGUGCGCCAAAUAAGACAUCUGCAACCUUUACGCAGGGAUUUAUUUGUACUAGGGGAACAACUAAAUCCUCAGAUGAAAUGUCUUGACACAAAUGAAAGGUUCCCUCCUUGCUACUGGAAGCUUGAUGCCCGCCGGUGACUUGUCAAGGCCGCUGAAUUCCAAGCAGUAACCCGGAGAUGCAGGCUGCUCCCCCUCGUGUGUGGCUCCACCAUCCUCAGUAUGUACCCUCUGCGGUCGCCACCUUAUUAAAGAAGGAGAUGCACGUGGGCUCUUAAUGCCCUCUGAUCGUAGGUGGCAGAUGUCUUUUAUGCUUCCAGCCCAUUGUCCAGGACGAAUCAGAUGUCCUCGACGUAACUGCAAGGCAAGGGCGUCAGGAGAAGCAGGUGAGCAGUGAAGGACGUGAUCACCCGUCUACACAGGGGCAGAAAAAUGACACGCAUACCCUGCGUCUGCAUCAGGAGAGAUAGUUAUAGCGACUUUAUUUUUCAAAAAUUCUUUGUUAGAGUUGAUUUACAAGUUCUGUCUGUUUCUGCUGUACAGAAAAGUGACCCCGCCAUACAUGCGUCUAUGUUCUUUCUCUCACAUAAUCUUCAAUCCUGUUUUAUCACAAGCGAUUGGAUGUAGUUCCCUGGUAAUGACUUUAAUUCUCUCAUAUAUAACGGAAUGGCUGUAACAUAAGCCCUGACACGGUCCUUAAUAAAAUAAAGCCAGGGUUUUUCAGGAAGGAUAAAUGAGCAAGAAUAACCAGGAAAAGUUGGGAAGUAAAGUAGAACAAGGCAGCAAUCUCCGCUCAGGUGUUAAAAUGUAUGGUGAAGCUCCAGUUGUUAAAAUGAUCUGGUGGGACUUGCCCAGAAUAGAUAGCAAGAUCAUUGGAAUAGAAUGAAAAGUCUAUGAACAGGCCAAAGAGUAUCUAGGGAUUUAGUGUGUUUAGAUAAGCGCAGCAUGUUAAAUCAGCAUGGAAACGAGUGUUUAUCUUCAAAACAGCACAGGAACCACUGACUCGCCACGUGGGAGGGAACGUACCCUGUUCCUCAGGCUCUUCUCCGAAAUGUGCUUCAGGUGGAUCAGAACGUUAAAUGAGUUAAUAGAGGAAGAUGGAGGCUUGGGAAGGCGAGUCUUAGCGGGACUCGAUGGAGAUAGAGAUGCUUGCACUUGUUUAACCUAAAAAUGUUAAAUGUUUUUGUGCCCCAAACAACAGAUCAAGUUGAAUCAAAAAAGAGGAAAGAAAGCCCAUCGCGUGUGACAGACAAGAAAGUGCUACCGUUAAAAGGCAAACAGUUCUAGAGUGUGCAAACAUUUGCAGUCCCUCUGCUGAUGAUCCUGGGUUUGGUUUGGCUGGGCUUGAGCAAAUGAAAAGGAACCAGGACGGUGAGUGGAGCUGAAUGCUGUGAUUCAUGUGUGGAAACAGGGCACAGUUGCUUCUAAGAUACGUGUUGGGGACACUGAGAUCUCUAGACUUCUGUUUUAUACCUUGAGGGCAAAUUCAUCUGUGUCCUGCUCCUGCUGGAAGAUGUUUUUAAGACUGUGUGUGUGUGUGUGUGUGUGUGUGUGUGUGUGUGUGUGUGUGUAGACUGGCUAGGAAUGGGCCGUUUGUAUCCGUGGGUGUCUUUCUGGAACAGGAACAUGCCCAUAAGCCUCUGCUUGGUAUGAAAAAGGUCAAAUAUACAAAAAGCAGAGAGAUAUGUAUAAUGACGCUCCCCAAGUAGGAGUAGGUGUCAUUGCUUCAGCAAUCGUCAACAUAGGGCCAAUCCUGUGUCCCUUAUAACAUGAGACACUACAAAUGCCAGCUGCUGCGGAGCUGGCAUUGGAAGUCUGAGAAACUCUUCUCUGUAAGUGGGAUUAGGCAGCCAGACAGGCCUGACCUGAAGCUGGCCUGAGCCUUAUAAGUUGCUGCUGGGUUGAUCUUCGGCCACGUCACCUUUCUGACCGUCAUCUGUGAAAAGGAAAUACAGUCCACACCUUACAGGACAAUUGCCUUAACCCAAGGCUCCCUUCUUUGUUUCCAGCAGGUCCUUAAUUGCUAUUUUAUUACUGUUUCUACAUGUCUGUCUAGAGUGGACAACCUAAAGGAAACAAAGAGAAAGUCCUCCCCAAUAUUCAGACCUCCAAACAGGCUGAUAAAUAACCACUGCCCACCUGCCGAGGUCAUCGGUCAGGGAUGAGCACCUGCCGGGAAUUAACCCUGUAACUGGCAACUGGUGCUGGUGUGAGCUGCUGCCUUCUCAUUGUAAAUGGCAAAUACAUACCGAGAUGGUUCCAAAUUUCACCAGUAUGGCCUGAACAAUUUUUUUUUAACACUUCCUCCACUAGCUGGCCCCUUGCUUGGGUUCAGGCCCAGAGCUGCCCACAGGGUGAUCCGUGUGCUCUCAUGAGUCCAUGUCGAUGAAUUUUUCAGCCCACCUUCUACCAGGGAAGAGAAAACAGAGCAGGCCUGUGUUGAUGGGAAGCUAGUGAGUUAGGAGAGAUGGGGAGGAAGCCUGGGGAGCUGCUGCUCUGGUGGUGGGACCUAUGGGGGAAAGAUGAGCGUGUGACUCACCUGGGUGGAGUGCCCAGAACAGGAGGAGUCCCCGAACCUGGAGCUAUGAGGCGAGCCAGCACCUGGGCCCACAGGUGCUCCAGCUUUCUGGGGAUCCUCCUCCAGCAUCGCCAAAGCCUGGGCCGGGCGCAUCCACUUAACUCACGGGGCAGGCUCCCAGUUUUUGAAGGAUCUUCACACCGGUAAGUUCAGAGGCAGUGAGACCUCAGGCGGGUUCAGUCUGUCCCCGAGGACUCAGAUUAUGCUUGUGGGUCCCCCUUGUUCUCUUCUACCUCAUCUCCAUCUUCCUCUCUCCACUGCCCGCAGCCUCCAGCAGCAGCCGCCUUAUAGACACUGCUUAGCCCGGUCCUGCACUUGCUCAGGUCCGGUCUCUGUAACAGAACACACGCGCAUCUCGUGAUGGUGCUUCUCUGAUGGAGCCUUAGCCGAUGCGCAGAAGUAGACAACUGUGUUGGGGCGGAGGAGGUGCCCUGAACUCCAGCUCAGCCCUCCUCCUCCCAAGCCCUUCCAUCCUAGGAUCAACAGGAGCCUGUGACUGACUACAGCAGGAGAGCAGGCGUGGCAUGGAUCCCGUGCAAGCCGGCAGUGGAGACCCAGCGCCUGAGAGUGACGUGGGGAACUAGCAGGAGCUAGAAGUGACUUAGGACGAGCUUUUGUAAAGCUGAGGUGUGAGUGUAAUAUCAGGAUGAUUUGACUGCAAGCAACAGAGAAUCAAACAGAAAUGGCCUAGGGAGUCCCUUCGUGGCUCCCCAGUUAACAAUCUGACUGGAUCAUGAGGAUGCAGGUUCAAUCCCCGGCCUCUAUCAGUGGGUGAAGGAUCUAGUGCUACCAUGAGCUGUGCUGUGGUGUAGGCUGGCGGCCGCAGCUCCAGUUGGACCCCUAGCCCGGGAACUUCCAUAUGCUGUGGGUGCAGCCCUAAAAAGCAAAAACAAACAAAAAAAUGAAACAAAACAAAACAAAAAAUCCACAAAAAAAUCAGAAAUGGCCUAAACAAAGAAGAAAACGUGUUAUCCCAUACUACAAGAAGUUUGGGGAUUGAGUGAGUGGUUAAAUGCAUGAUUAGUUUAGAAACUUGACAGCACCACCCAGGACCCAUUUUCCCUAAGGCGCUGCUGCCCCCCACCCUGUAGGCUUAGCCACCGCAGCAAAGACACCCCCCUUCCCCAACCAGAGCCCUGCGUCAGGACUGGAAGGGGCCUCCUUCCCUCCAUCCCCUUCCAGAACCUCCGCAGAAGACUCCCCUUGACGUCUCAUUCCAUCCCAUACUGGUCACUUUGCAGGGGAACGGAUUUACCAUGGUGGCCAGAGACAAUUAAGUCGCCCCCAUCUCUGGAGAACACUUGACCACUCAGUACCCAGCAACUCGGGUACUCCUGGCAAGAAAGAGACAGGUGAUACCCACUGGGUCCUGUCCACAGCGCCUGCCCCCAGCAACCUGUCUACCUGGAAAACUGAGGGGGUGCCACGCGGGUCUGUGUCUUCUCUGUAGUUUGCCCGAGUCUUUCCCAUUAGGUAAGUGUCGCCCUUUUCCCUCUUUGCGGCUUUCCUCCUUGGCACGUCACCCAGGUUUUGUUCAGCCACAAGGGGCGAUAGGCUGAAAGAGGAAUCUCCAGGCCUAGGUGAUGGGCCAGCCGUGGUGAUCCUCACCCGUUUGCCUGGGCACCGUUUGGGAAACGUCCCCCUGCUCACCACGGAGAUGAAAGACCAGGUCCCUGGAGGGGCUUCGCGGAAGGAUUUUUCUCCCCAGUAAAGCGGCAGACAAGCCAAGGGUCCGCCGCCCUACGCGCCGUCUGCCUUGAGCCGCCGCCAGCUCACAUCCUUGAGCAGAAACGUUGCAGGGAGGCAGAAAGCGCCGAGUCUCAUGGAUCGUGCUGAGCGUUGCAUCCACCCAGGACUGCUUACCUUCAGACUUCUGCUCCGGUGGCAGAGCAGCAAACCCCUAUUGUGUAAGCCUUUGUAGAUGGCUGGUGCCACUUGCUGCUGAAAGUGACAGAUAAUCUUUCUAGGAAUAUAACCCCUAAAGCCCUUUAUGGUAACAGAUGCACUUAGAGAAUGUAGUUUUCUUUCUUUUUCUUACUUAAAAAAAAAAAAAAAAAAAGCUGAAGUCUGCCUCAGGCAAAAAGACAAACUGAAAACAUAUGUAUGCAUAAUUGAAGUGCAAUCAAUAUUCAUUAGAAAAUGAACGAAUGUUCUUCAGGUUACUUUAAUAGUUUUCUCGGGAAUCUGUUUUUGGAUACGUAUGUCAGCUACAAUAUUUGGCACUUCCAGGAGCUCUGUGUUGAUGUCCUUCCUAGAAGUUGCACUUCUGCGCAUUUUUCUGCGCCUUUGGGGUCUCAGAUGUUCCUGGAAGGAAUCACUUUUCACUCCCCUGGCUUUUCCCUCGAACAGGUAACUUGUAACUUGCUGUUGCCUAUAGAUAUCGAGCAUUUGUCCAAAAAUAUGUUCCUACAAUACCUUCCUGUCUCAGCCAUUCCAUUCACAAGACAGUUUAAACAUUUCUCCAUGCUAUUCCACAGAUCAUUCAUAGAGGAACCAUCUGAACCAUGCAACAAAGUCUAGAAACUUUUAUGACUUUUAACUUCCACGACAAGUUAUCAUGUACUUGGUACCCUCAGCCAGGUACAUGUUAAGCUCAGGUUUCAUGUAUGUUAGCGUGGAGCCAUAUUUCCUUGUGGAUAAACCUAUAGAUUUAUCCCCACCCCCACUUCCCUUCCCAGAAGUAACUGUUGCCUUGACAACAGGGUAAGGACAGCAGUGAUGACGGCUGUGAUAACGAUUAUGAUAAUGAUGGCAGGAGAAACUGUAUGCUGGCCAUUAUCUAAGCACUUUACAUGCAUUAGCUCCUUUAACGCCCAAGGAGGCAUGUGACAGAAAUGCUAUUUUUAUCCCCGUGUUAGAGAUGAGGGCUGAGGAAAGACUGGUGAGGUGCCUUGCCCAAGGCCACACGUCUGGUCCCCAGAGAAGCCAGGCUUCCUACCCAGGCAACCCAGGGGUCCCAUACACUGUCGCUGCCUGAUAGGUAGCAGUGGUGGUGAUACACACUUCCUCUAGGUACAUGCGCAUCCAUAAUAAAGACGCAGUAGACUUAUUUGCAUAUUUUAAAAAGUGUAUGGUUUCAGAACAUUUGUUGUUUUUCCCUGUUAUGAAUCGUGUCGCAGUAAACGUCUCGCGUGCAUCACCUCACGUGUGUGCUGCUCUAUGGCCAACAUCGAAAGGUCUCAUUUCUGGAGUUCCUGUCGUGGCUCAGAGGUUAACGAACCUGACUAGCAUCCAUGAGGUUGUGGUUCGAUCCCUGGCCUCGAUCAGUGGGUUAAGGAUCUGGCGUUGCCGUGAGCUGUGGUGUAGGUCACAGAUGUGGCUUGGGUCUGGUGUUACUGUGGCUGUGGUGUAGGCCGGGGGCUGCAGCUCCAAUUCGACCCCUAGCCUGGGAACCUCUACAUGCUGCGGGUUCGGCCUUAAAAAGACAAAAGACAAAAAAGAAAGAAAGAAAAGAAAAAUCUCAUUUCUGCUUGGUAGAUUUUGCACAUCAUCAAUUUUUUUUUUCAGUUGUUCCAAAAUAGCUCUUCAAAGUGUUAGUACCAGUUUGCAGCCAUAGCAACACUAUAUAAGACUUUCCAGUUCCAGUAGCCCCACCCAUUCUUAUUAUUGGAUUUAUUGGUUGGUUGUUGAUUUUUGUCAGUUGAUAGGUAUGGCAUGGUAUUUGAUCUAGUGUGAAUUUUUCUUUGAUUACCAGAGAGGUUGAAGCAUUUUUCCAUUUGUUUGUACUUCCUUUUUGCUUGUAUUGUUUACUUGCCUGAUUUUUUGUUUGUUUGUUUGUUUGCCUUUCCUUGAGCCGCUCCCACGGCAUAUGGAGGUUGCAAGGAUAGGGGUCGAAUCGGAGCUGUAGCCACCAGCCUACGCCAGAGCCACAGCAACUCGGAAUCCAAGCUGCAUCUGCAGCCUACACAACAGCUCACAGCAACGCCGGUUCCUUAACCCACUGAGCAAGCCAGGGACUGAACCCGCAACCUCAUGGUUCCUAGUCGGAUUCGUUAACCACUGCGCCAUGACGGGAACUCUUGCUUGCCUGAUUUUUAGGGAAUUCUGUUAUAUUCCUCUUCUAUAAAACUAGUUGUUUGGGCUGUAAACACCUUAGAGUGGCUACUGACUUUUUUUUUUUCCUUUUUUCUUGUUUGACUUUCUUUUCAUUGUUGUCUUUUUUUGUCUUUUCGUCUUUUCUAAGGCCACCUGCGACAUAUGGAGAUUCCUAGGCUAGGGGUCUAAUCAGAGCUGUAGCCACUGCAGCCACAGCAACUCGGGAUCCAAGCCUUGUCUGUGACCUACACCACAGCUGACAGCAAUGCCGGAUCCUGAACCCACUGAGCGAGGCCAGGGAUCAAACCCGAAACCUCAUGGUUCAUAGUUGGGUUCGUUCCCACUGAGCCAUGACGGGCACUCUCUCUUUUCAUCGUUGCCUUGAUACGCAGAAGUCCUUAGUUUGAUAUAGUUUUAUUCUCAAUAUGAUUUAUGCUUUUGGCCCUUAAGGAGGAAUGACAGUGCUCAGAUGUCAGCAAGAUGGCCUCGCACGGUUUAUUUUGUCUUUUUUUUUUUUUUCUUUUUAGGGUCACAUCUGUGGCAUAUGGAAGUUCCCGGGUUUGAAGGUUGAAUUGGAGCUGCAGCCACAGGCCUACACCACAGCCAUGGCAGCACCGGAUCUGAGCUGCAUCUGCAACCUACGCUGCAGCUUGUGGCAGUGCCAGAUCCUAACCUACUGAGCAAGGCCAGGGAUCAAGCUUGCCUUCUCAGGGACACUGUGUCAGGCUCUUCAGCCCCUGAGCCAUAACGGGAACUCCUUCGUUUUCAAGUUUUGCUUUCAUUUAGAUGAUUUGGGGGUAUGACAGGACGUCGAUACCCAGUCUUACCCUCUUUCAUCCCUGGUUUCCUGGAGAGUAUCUUUUCCGUUACAGCCAGGAUGCAGCCUCAUUCAUUGAUUAUGCUGAUCCUUUGCCCAGCGAUCUGACAGGCCGUCUCUGCGUAUUUCAGAUUUCCUUUUCUAAGUGCUUCUAUUUCGGGUCCCUGCUCCCUGUGACAACAUCACAUUGUUCAAAUUACUACCAUCCCUGUCUAAUCCCCUUCCUUUUUCUUUAGCAUAGUUUUGUCAAGUCCUUUGAAAAACUGUACAGGAAUUUUUUAUUGAAAUUGUAUUGAAUUUAUAGGUAAAUUUGGGGAAAAUUGCAGUCUUUAAAAUAUUGAACUCUCCGUCCAUGAAUAUAGUAAAUCCUGUAUUUCUUCCCCACUUCCAUCAGCUUUUGUUGCUUUCUCCAUAAAAAUCUGACACACCAUUUGUUAAAUUUAUUUCUUGACACCUUAAAAGCUUUUAUUGUCAUGGUUAAUAAUGUCCUUUAACAAUAACUAUUGAUUUUUGUGUAUUGGUUUCUAGCAAAUUGUGAGCUUUCUUAUUAGCACUCAUAUUUAUUUGUAAUUUCUCCUGGAUAUUCUAUGCAAGCAUAUAUUCUUUGUACUAAUUACGUUAUCUCUUUUC
Molecule: non-coding RNA, 19156 nt
Organism: Sus scrofa (pig)
Lineage: Eukaryota; Metazoa; Chordata; Mammalia; Artiodactyla; Suidae
Source: RefSeq, a predicted model, not a curated record